CUGCCUCACUGUCUUCGUCUUCUUUACCUGUUCAUCUGUGUCUUCAUCUUCAACGCUCUUCGACAUCAUUCAACUGCGUCACUAGGCCUGGACCCUUAACCUACAACCUGCAAAGCCGACCCAAUCCGAAUAAGAAUCGGGAAACCCUAUUUUGUGAUAACUCUGUGUGCUCAAACGUGAAGACCCUUCAUUCUCUUAGAGGUUCAAAAGCUUGCCUCCCUUGUCUCUCUGGAAAAAUUGGUGGUCAUCAAUUUGAAGGACAUCCCUUGUUACUGUCUUUCAAGGCAAUCUCUUAACUUUCUCAUAGUUUGAAAAUAAUUUAUUGGAUUUUGCCUCCAGUAUCGUUCCUAUUCAGACUACUCUUCUUGAGAAAAUGGUGGUUAUUUCUUUAGUUUUACUUGGUUCUCCAACUCUUUCUCUAUCGACUUCGAUUUGUGCAGUCCACCAAUUUAUCUAUAGAGUUGUUUUUGGACAGCCUCCUUUGUAUUUGUCUUUGCAGGUUACUUUUUAAUUCCUAUAUAUAUAUUUUUUCAAUGUUUGGUCUAAUUUUUUUAUUUUAUUUUAUGUAAUUUUUAAUCUUAAUUUAUGAAAAAAUUUCAAAUUAUAAACCUGUUCUUAGUAAAAAGAUUUUAUUUUUCGAUUUUAAUUGAUUGUGUUGUAUAAAUGACAAAUAUUAUUUCAUUGAAAAUUCCUUCUUAAAAUGAUAGAAAGUAGUAUUGCUUAAAAACCUUUCAUGGAGGGUAAUUGAUAAUUUUAUUCUUGUCGACCAAACCACCUUUUGCAUGUUUAAAUUGUAUGGAACUCUAAUGUCAAUCAAGGUAUUUGGUAGAUUUGGAUCGAUUGAGCUCCUGAAGGAUUAAUAUUCAUUUAAGCUUUAAAGAAUGUUGCACAAAGCAUAAAUCAGUUUGUAUUAGCUUUAUAUUGAUUUUUGUCCAGUUGUAAGGAAAAAAAUCAAUAGGCGGAAAAUAAUAAUUGGCAAGAAUAUGGGGACUGUUGAAAAACUCAUCUUUUUGCUGGAAUUAUUAGCAGUCUUAAAUGGGUUCUACGUCCAUUCAAAAAGAAAAGAAAAAAUUGAAAUGGGUUUUUAAAGAAAGGCUGGAAAUAUCUGAUUAAAGGGUUCUUGAUUUUGUGUUUCUGUUAUUUUGAAAUAUAAUUAGCUCUAAUAGGAUUAAGAGCUGAUAUAGAUAACUGAAAUGAUGUUUCUACAGGAAGCCGGACUAAAUUUGCGAAAAUUGAAACGAAGGGAUGCAUCGUGGAUCUGGCAAACAAUUUCUUUGACAUCACUUGCAUGCGAAUUGAGGUGCAUUUCCAUCACUAGUUUGACUCAAUAUUUGAUUUUGGAUAAAAAAUAGAUUCCAUUUCAUUUAUGAUGCAAGAUAUGAUUAGAGCUGUAGGUUCUUUCUUUUCUUGAAAUUGUUACCUCACUUUAUUUCAUUUAAUUUCCUAUCUAACAUUUGAGAGAAAAAAAUAUGUAUAACCGAUUCAUGUUUUAGAUUUGAAGGAACCUUUCAAUUUUCAGAAAGGGUGAUGUUGUAGGCCAGAAUUGGUCUAGGCAGAGCUCUAGGUGAACCUAUCAACUGGACAAAGAAUUAUAGCUCGCCUUUAACAGCCUUAUUCAUUAGACCGCAUUCUCGUGGAAGCAAAAUAUCAGGUAUGAUAUUUAGGGCGACUUAAUCUAAUCCACUUUCCUUACAAUAUG
RNAcentral lists this long non-coding RNA (1699 nucleotides) under Olea europaea subsp. europaea. Lineage: Eukaryota; Viridiplantae; Streptophyta; Magnoliopsida; Lamiales; Oleaceae. The record is from RNAcentral.